GAUGAACGCUGGCGGCGUGCCUAAUACAUGCAAGUCGAGCGAACGGACGAGAAGCUUGCUUUUCUGAUGUUAGCGGCGGACGGGUGAGUAACACGUGGAUAACCUACCUAUAAGACUGGGAUAACUUCGGGAAACCGGAGCUAAUACCGGAUAAUAUUUUGAACCGCAUGGUUCAAAAGUGAAAGACGGUCUUGCUGUCACUUAUAGAUGGAUCCGCGCUGCAUUAGCUAGUUGGUAAGGUAACGGCUUACCAAGGCAACGAUGCAUAGCCGACCUGAGAGAGUGAUCGGCCACCCUGGAACUGAGACACGGUCCAGACUCCUACGGGAGGCAGCAGUAGGGAAUCUUCCGCAAAGGGCGAAAGCCUGACGGAGCAACGCCGCGUGAGUGAUGAAGGUCUUCGGAGCGUAAAACUCUGUUAUUAGGGAAGAACAUAUGUGUAAGUAACUGUGCACAUCUUGACGGUACCUAAUCAGAAAGCCACGGCUAACUACGUG
RNAcentral lists this ribosomal RNA (497 nucleotides) under uncultured bacterium. Its description in RNAcentral is "partial 16S ribosomal RNA". It matches the Rfam family "Bacterial small subunit ribosomal RNA", at positions 28 to 507 of the family's 1533-position model. The record is from RNAcentral.